AAAACUUUCAACAAUGGAUCUCUUGGUUCCGGCAUCGAUGAAGAACGCAGCGAAAUGCGAUAACUAAUGUGAAUUGCAGAAUUCAGUGAAUCAUCGAGUCUUUGAACGCACAUUGCGCCCCCUGGUAUUCCGGGGGGCAUGCCUGUCCGAGCGUCAU
Molecule: ribosomal RNA, 157 nt
Filed under: Aspergillus niger
Lineage: Eukaryota; Fungi; Ascomycota; Eurotiomycetes; Eurotiales; Aspergillaceae
Also listed under: 4 other names
Description: 5.8S ribosomal RNA
Rfam family: 5.8S ribosomal RNA
About the family: 5.8S ribosomal RNA (5.8S rRNA) is a component of the large subunit of the eukaryotic ribosome. It is transcribed by RNA polymerase I as part of the 45S precursor that also contains 18S and 28S rRNA. Functionally, it is thought that 5.8S rRNA may be involved in ribosome translocation.
Source: RNAcentral